CCUACGGGAGGCAGCAGUGGGGAAUAUUGGGCAAUGGGCGCAAGCCUGACCCAGCAACGCCGCGUGAAGGAAGAAGGCUUUCGGGUUGUAAACUUCUUUUCGCAGGGACGAAGAAAGUAACGGUCCCUCAUUAAUACACCGCCGCUAACUGCGUGCCCGCAGCCGCGGUAAUACGUAGGUGGCAAGCGUUAUCCGGAUUUACUGGGUGUAAAGGGCGUGUAGGCGGGACUGCAAGUCAGAUGUGAAAACCACGGGCUCAACCUGGGGCCUGCAUUUGAAACUGUAGUUCUUGAGUACUGGAGAGGCAGACGGAAUUCCUAGUGUAGCGGUGAAAUGCGUAGAUAUUAGGAGGAACACCAGUGGCGAAGGCGGUCUGCUGGACAGCAACUGACGCUGAGGCGCGAAAGCGUGGGGAGCAAACAGGAUUAGAUACCCUUGUAGUC
This 443-nucleotide ribosomal RNA is filed under the name uncultured bacterium. Its description in RNAcentral is "partial 16S ribosomal RNA". It matches the Rfam family "Bacterial small subunit ribosomal RNA", at positions 338 to 795 of the family's 1533-position model. The record is from RNAcentral.